GCGCUCGUAGCUCAGCUGGACAGAGCACCGGACUACGAAUCCGUAGGUCGCAAGUUCGAAUCUUGCCGGGCGCGCCA
This 77-nucleotide transfer RNA is filed under the name Desulfarculales bacterium. RNAcentral describes it as "tRNA-Arg". It matches the Rfam family "tRNA". From Rfam's summary of the family: Transfer RNA (tRNA) molecules are approximately 80 nucleotides in length. Their secondary structure includes four short double-helical elements and three loops (D, anti-codon, and T loops). Further hydrogen bonds mediate the characteristic L-shaped molecular structure. tRNAs have two regions of fundamental functional importance: the anti-codon, which is responsible for specific mRNA codon recognition, and the 3' end, to which the tRNAs corresponding amino acid is attached (by aminoacyl-tRNA synthetases). tRNAs cope with the degeneracy of the genetic code in two manners: having more than one tRNA (with a specific anti-codon) for a particular amino acid; and 'wobble' base-pairing, i.e. permitting non-standard base-pairing at the 3rd anti-codon position. The record is from RNAcentral. Lineage: Bacteria; Pseudomonadati; Thermodesulfobacteriota; Desulfarculia; Desulfarculales.